AUCUUUUAAACCACCUGAAACCACUUAAUCACAUCUGAUUUCAGAAGAUAAGCAAUUUCAGGCAUGGCUAGUACUUGGAUAGGAGCCCACCAGGGAAUAUCAGAGAUC
RNAcentral lists this ribosomal RNA (108 nucleotides) under Pogona vitticeps (central bearded dragon). The record is from RNAcentral. Lineage: Eukaryota; Metazoa; Chordata; Lepidosauria; Squamata; Agamidae.